ACGGCGAGUGAAGCGGGAAGAGCUCAAAUUUGAAAUCUGGCAGUCUUCGAUUGUCCGAGUUGUAAUCUAUAGAGGCGUUUUCCGUGCCGGACCGUGUCCAAGUCUCCUGGAAAGGAGUAUCAAAGAGGGUGAUAAUCCCGUACUUAACACGACCACCGGUGCUCUGUGAUACGUCUUCUACGAGUCGAGUUGUUUGGGAAUGCAGCUCAAAAUGGGUGGUGAAUUCCAUCUAAAGCUAAAUAUUGGCGAGAGACCGAUAGCGAACAAGUACCGUGAGGGAAAGAUGAAAAGCACUUUGGAAAGAGAGUUAAACAGUACGUGAAAUUGUUGAAAGGGAAACGAUUGAAGUCAGUCGUGUUCUUUGGAUUCAGCCAGUUCUGCUGGUCUACUUCCUUUGAACGGGUCAACAUCAGUUUUGUCCGGUGGAUAAAGGUAGUAGGAAUGUGACUUCUCCGGAAGUGUUAUAGCCUAUUAUCACAUACACUGGGUGAGACUGAGGACUGCAGCUCGCCUUUAUGGCCGACCUUCGGGUACGUUCGAGCU
RNAcentral lists this ribosomal RNA (543 nucleotides) under Trichosporon faecale. RNAcentral describes it as "eukaryotic LSU rRNA". It matches the Rfam family "Eukaryotic large subunit ribosomal RNA", at positions 86 to 617 of the family's 3401-position model. Lineage: Eukaryota; Fungi; Basidiomycota; Tremellomycetes; Trichosporonales; Trichosporonaceae. The record is from RNAcentral.